Molecule: long non-coding RNA, 3992 nt
Organism: Trachemys scripta elegans
Lineage: Eukaryota; Metazoa; Chordata; Testudines; Emydidae
Exons: 11
Source: RefSeq, a predicted model, not a curated record
GAUUAAAUGAGCCUCAGCUGGACAGAACACAAGGGACCUGUGUAAAGCCCAGUAGUUGAGAGCAACUGUGUUCUGCAGAGGUAGUCUGUAGUUAUUCCGCGGGAGAAGGGAGGUGUGUUUGAGGCUACAGAGGCAAGUAGCCUAUAGUUACUCCCUGGGAGGAGGGUGUUGUGAAGCUAGCAAACCCAGGGAGGUGGGGAAAGCCAGAUGGUAAGGAAAGGGCUCAGGGAAAGACUGUAAGGUCCAGAAGGGAACAGACUUUGGCUGCUGACUAUAGGGUCCUUGACCCUGGAGUCCUGGCUUUCCCUGACAACUACUAAGGGAGUGGCACUGUGGGGCAGUGAAUGGGAAGACUGCUUAAGACAUAGAGAGGAAAGACUUUGAUACCCCCAAAGGGGCAAAUCCAUGCAGUGACCUGGCCGCAGGGCCAAGUCACAAAGAUGGAGUUGCAGAGAGAGAGAAUGGCAAUGGCACCUGCAGUGAGAAGCAGAAGAAGGCCUUUUACCUGGUGAAAGCUGAUUCCCCAGACUGACCAGAAGGAGGUUCCACUUGUGGAGGGGUGGGACUAAAGUAUGACAUGGCCCUCCGGCCAGGUCACCAGAAAAGGCAGAUCCCACUGCAGGAUUGGAGCAACCAUUGGGAGGCGGUGCUAGAAGACAAAAGCCUGCUAUGCCAUAGCCAGUCACAAAGGGUGGUGGAAAAUAGCACUCUUCAAAAGCGAGACAGAACUGGAAAUGAAAUGAAGACAUGGAAUUUAAGAGACGCUUUUGUACAGCAGCCCAAAAGUAAGUUGCCACCCAUGGCUAAAGAGCCCCACCAGAGCAGCCUGGUUUUAAGAGAUGGAAGCUUGAAUCUGAAGACCUGGCUAUCCCGCCUCCUGUUUGGACCACCCACAGAGGCACUUAGACCCAGUUGCCUUAUUUCCUGCUGGGACCACCCACAGAGGUCCCUUUAAAUAAUAAGCAAAAAAAAAAAUCUUGUAAAGGUGGACUAGUCCAAACAUACAUAAAAAAUCCACUUGAAAACGAAGAUAUUACACACAGGUGGAUGGGAGAAUGCCCAUGUAUUUGUGUAUGUAUAAACAAGAUAAAAUGGCUACUUCACUCCUACUGAAACCAAACCGAAAGAGCAGCCCGCCAAUUUCAGUGGGGAAUUCUGAGUAUGAUACUACUCAGCAUGACCAAGAGAAGUAAAGUCUGACCCUACAUAAGAAUCACAUGUGUUCACCUGCCUCUAUUGCUGUCCCAGAAGUGUGCCAUGGAUACUGCAAACAGAUUGCAUAUAGUGUCUAUCAUUCCUGGAGUGUCUUAUUACCCAUGCUUCAGAUAUGUAGUGUAAAGAUUCAGGACUAUCUCUGCUUCUGCCACUGGCUGCUAUCUCAGCCUCCUCAUUUGAAAGAAAAGACUGCUUCUCUGUGGCUGUUUUUCUUUUCUGCUGAGUCAUUCUGUCAGCACAUAAAUUCCUACUGUAUAUGAAUCAAGUCAAGGUGAAAAAUAAAGAAGUAAGUAGAACUCUGUUGAAGGAAACAAUCUGUGACUAUCUCUUCUUGGAACUAGAGACUUUUGGAGGCAUCUUUCUUCUGCUGCACAGUCCGAAAGGCCCGUGAUUUGCACUCUCUUCUAGCUAGAGGAAGGGUGAGGAGAAAAUUAUUUUUAUUGAACAUCGAAAGAACAUGCUUGUGAAUGAUGCUUGAAAACAAAGGUCAGACAGCUUAAGACAGAGUUACAAUGGCAGAGAAAGGACGGGGAAGGCUUUCCUGGUGGAUACAAAUGAAAUAGGCCCCUGAAGAAAGGGUCUUCCCACACCAUAUGGGAGGGGGAAACUCUGGGAAGAAGCAUCUAAAAGCUGACACACUACCUUGAUAGCCUCUUCCUGAUGGAAUCUGAGGACCAAACUGGACUAUAAACAAAAGAUAAUGACUAAAAUGUCAAGUGUAGGGUCCAACAGCUGUUCCCCAUGCCUAGGGGAGUAUCACUUCUAUGUUGUGCUACAUAGUUUCUUCACAGAAAGCUUAUAAUAAACUAUAAAUAGUCCUGGGAAAGUUGGAACUCUUAGCUCUCCAGUUGUUUAGGAGCUAAGCUGUCAAGCUGAGGGUUGGGCGGGGGGGGAGAGGGGGAGAGAAUGAGACCUUUGAUUCUGAGGUGAGUUUGCUGAGGGCUGGAAACAUUAAAGCUGUUUGAGUUAGAAGAUCUAAGAAGUUAUCAUGUGAGGAUUCAGAAUAAAAAAAGACGAGGACCACAUCAUACCAGAUAUUUAUGACCCCCGCUCCCUACCCCAGGAGAUGAAUAACUGAGAUGGUACAUGAAGAAGCUACUGGACUCUUUAUUCUAGAUGAUAUCAAAUGCAUUCCUCGGACAUCUGCCCUGAAGCAGAACUGGUAAACUUGUACUGUGUAUAGGGCAGAACUUCCCUUAAGGGAUGUGGCUGAUGCACAAUCACGCUUUUACUGAGCUGGGCCCUAGAACUAGCUGCCCUUAAUGCCCAUGUCAUUCCAUCUCUCCUGACUUAUUUUCAGUAUGAACACAGUUAGACCCAUAUUUAUUACCUUCUCCUUCUGUCUUAAUUUUUGUUUAUUUAUUUCAGAGAGUUGUUUUUAUUGUAUUAUAUGUGAAACUCUCAGAUGAGGUCACCGUCGGUACAGAUCCACCUCUUCCAUUGAUCCUCAUCAGGAUUAUCUGAGGUUGCGGCUCCCAGAGAUCUAGGACCAGAUACUUAGCUGGUGUAUAGGAGCGACAUCAACAAAGGAGCUAUCUGCUGAGAAUCUCUCCAGCCUAGUGAUUGAUGGCAUCAGAGACCACCUGCAAUAUACUCUCGAUUAUGUUUUUCCUUCUUAGUGCAAAGUCCCUGCAUGAGUUGAUGAAGUUUCUCUCUGCUGUGGUCUGGGAGGCACCAAGGCUGAUUUUGCUUAUUGAAUUUGGCUUCCACAUAGGCGAUAAGACUUUUGGAUUGGCUCAAGACUUCAUGGUCACCCUAUGGGGUUAUCUAAGGUGACUGAAGGCUCAAUCCAUACUCUGGAUUUGAUGUUUGAGUUAGGAUGAGAGAUUGGAGGGUUAGCUAUUAUUCCCAUGUCAUGAACUGAUCAUUACCUCCUGUGGCUUGAGGUGAGGACCAGUCUCUUCUGUAUGGACAGAAGACCUGUUCUGAGGGCCCUCCCUGAGAAACUCGUGGAACUGGAGGGCAUUGAGAGGGCUCUGCGAGAGAAUAUUUUUUAACCACUCUAUAUUGUUUCAGUAGGAGUGUAUAAAUAUUUUUUGUCCUUGACUACUAAUUGUGCACAAUGUUUCACAGAGCUUCCUUAGCAGCUGACUGGUCAUAUCCACUGAUGCAGAGGUGAGGAAGUGGGUCCAUGGACAUGCCUCCUUCUCACACAUUUUAGGGUGCCAUUUAGAAGAGCACAGAACUGUAUUGUCAUCAGCACCACUGGCCACAAAAGCGUCCAGAGCUUUAUUGCACUCUCCUCAUCCAUGUGCACAUCCACAAUGGGGCCAGCCAAAAUCUGGCUCUGUUUAUUUUAUAGCUCCCCCUAUUGUCUCUCUCCUCAUCUCAAAAACCAGUAUGUUUGACAUGCAAAACAGUUUGAAAUCUGAAUAUGCAGGAGGUGAGCUUGGUCUUUUCUCCAACACCACUAUUACUGAUGCUCAGACACAGGCAGGAAUGGGAGCAUUUAAAAUAAGUAGGAAGAAAUGGCUCAUUGUGUGUCUCGGAUUCCUCAGGAUCAUUAAGGGAGUGGGAGUUGGGAGUAGGCUGAAAGGAGCAGUGGCCAUCUGUGAUAACAGGGUGAGACUUACACUAUGAGUUUAGGUCGAAUUUAGCAGCUUUAAAUCGAAUUAACCCUGCACCCGUCCACACAACGAAGCCAUUUACUUCAACAUAAAUGGCUCCUGAUGAGGGGAGUAGUGGUGAAAUCAACAUUGCUGGUUUGAAUUAGGGUUAGUGUGGACGCAAUUUGACGGUAUUGGCCUCCUUGAGCUAUCCCACAGUGCACUGUUGUG